RNAcentral lists this long non-coding RNA (1136 nucleotides) under Mytilus galloprovincialis (Mediterranean mussel). The record is from RNAcentral. Lineage: Eukaryota; Metazoa; Mollusca; Bivalvia; Mytilida; Mytilidae.
AUGUAGACGAAAUGCGCGUCUGGCGUAUUAAUUUAUAAUCCUGGUACCUUUGAUAACUAAUUAAUCCACCAUUUUCUACAUUUGAAAAAAACCUUUACAAAUUCAGGAAUAUGACAGUUGUCCGUUCGUUUGAUGUUUUAUCAUUUGAUUUUGCAACUUGAUUAGGGACUUUCCGCUUUGAAUUUUCCUCGGAAUUCAAGAUUUUUGUGAUUUACUUUUUAGUAAUAGGUUGAGAUCAUUGUUUAAACUUAUUAUACGCAAUAGGUUGAGAUCGUUGUUUUAUAUGCUACUCACUGAAAUACAGACUGGUUGAUGAAUUGGGACAUGUACAUACGAAUGUUGUGGGGUUCAACUUGUUACAUGUAGCGGACGCACAAACCUCCCCUAACACAGUUGUGUAACAGUUCAAAAUGAGAACAAAUUUUAACGAUCAGUUGAAAAAGGCUUAAUUCACUUGAUGGAUACAAAUAGAAAUACAUCCAACAAAAAUAAUUACAUUGGAUGGCUGCAUGUUUUAUUGUAAUACUUUAUUUGAUUGGCUAACAUCAAUCUCGAGUCAUUCUGAAAUUAACAUUCAUUUCGAAAUGAAUUGUAACAUUGAUGAUGACACACAUUUCCACAAUAAAGUGCACAGGUAAAUAAAUGAAAAACUUAAUUGUAAUCGUGUUUUCGUGAUCAUAGCGAAAAAAAAAGGUAAAUACAAGUAUUGAAUGCUUCUUUUAGUAAUUUCAUAAGGUUGUAAAAGCGUUGAUUGUGCGUACAUUUUAAGACUGAAGCGCGUUAGAGCUUCAUACAAAAUGUACUUCGGUCAACGCUUGUACACCCAAUGAAUUGACAUAAAGAAGCAUUCAAUACUUGAAUACAGAUCAGACAUGAAAGCUACUGUGUGACGCUUAUUCCGAACACACCGAGUCUUCACUGCGGAAAUUGAUAUCAUUUACGAAGUAGGAACAACGGCUUGUAGUCUCUUAGUAUAUAUGUCAUGUACUUACCGUCUUUAUGGCAGUACAUAUUAUAUAGCUAAAAAUGUAUAACGCCAUUUUAUAUAUUUGGUAACCAAAUUGAAUUAGUAUUGUUUUAAUGCAUUAGAAUCUGAAUUUAAAAAAAAUAACACCUAAUAAAUGUUUUGUACUCGC